UGAAUUAGGGCAUAAUAGGAAUGAAAGAGUGAAGACGGAAAGGGAAUGGAUGGUGUUGCUGCUGGGACUGUGUAGAGAGACGAGUGAAAGGAUGAUUGAGGCUGUGAAGGAGUAUCUGGAGAGAAUGCGGCGAGCAAGGUGUAGGGAUGAUUAGUCAACAGAAUACUUUUAUUUAUUUUUUGCCCCCCCUUUUUUGCCUCUUAUUCUCCUCGACAGGAGCUGCCGAUCCAAAAGCCUGGCUCUGGAGCGAUCCCGACCACUUGUAGCAUCAAGAUCAAGGCGUUGUUGUAGGUCGGGAAGGUCCUGCCACUGCUGAAGGGAGAACCAAAUCAGUGUCCUAACCCCAAACCUACGGCAGAAACCUGGCUCUUUUUGCACUGAAAGACGCCCAAUUCUUCCUGAUAGUGUUGCCAACCAGGGAGGAAGGACACGCUGCCUCUCUGCACCCUCCACGGAGGAAUUGGAUCCUGCCUCGCAUCAGCUGUCGUGACAACACCUGGUGCCAUCCAGGAAAGGACACUUAUCUUGCUGCACCUUCCAUGGAGGAAUUGGACCACGCCUCACCAGCUCUGCCCUGGCAGCACGUGGUGCCAUCCAGGGAGGGAAGUCACUGCCUCCUGCACCUUCAACAGGAAUUGAACCGUGCCCUGACAAGGGAGGGAGGACAGACUGCAUCUCCAUCUAACCUAACCUAACUAAUAAAUGUUGCCAAUCACUGUAAUAUUAUUCCUUCCAUCUAAUGUAAAUGUACUCACAUAAGUGUAAUGUUAUUCCUUCCAUCUAACCUAACCUAACUAAUGAAUGUUGCCAAUUACUUGUAAUGUUAUUAUUCCUUCCAUCUAAUUAAUGUAAAUGUACUCACAAAGUGUAAUGUUAUUCCUUUCCUUCCAUCUAAUGUAAAUGUACUCACAAAAAGUGUAAUGUUAUUCCUUCCAUGUUCUGUGGUGUACCCACAUUGUUAGUAUUUUAUAAUAAAUCAUAAUUAAAAAAGUAA
Molecule: long non-coding RNA, 994 nt
Organism: Portunus trituberculatus (swimming crab)
Lineage: Eukaryota; Metazoa; Arthropoda; Malacostraca; Decapoda; Portunidae
Exons: 2
Source: RefSeq, a predicted model, not a curated record